This is a non-coding RNA of Hyaena hyaena (striped hyena), 498 nucleotides long. The record is from the annotation of a RefSeq genome assembly. Lineage: Eukaryota; Metazoa; Chordata; Mammalia; Carnivora; Hyaenidae.
AGCAGAGCUCAGACCCUGACCUGCCCUCUGCCAGCCACGCAGCCUGUCUCCUUCCAGCGGGCGCAGCGGGGAGGCCACCCUGGGCUUCUCGCCACCAGGUGGGCAGCAGAGCCAUGCUGGGUCCCCUCGCCGUCCUGUGCGCCCUCCUGCUUCCCGGUGGCGUGGCAGCACUCAGCAUGGAGCAGCAGCCGGCUGUGGUCGUGGGGCACCGGGGCAGCUCGGCCAUCGUGUCCUGCACAGCCAGCGCCUCGGUCAGCUACAUGCACUGGUACCUCCACCAGGAGGGGGCUGCCCCCAAGAGGAUCCUCAGACUGGAAAUGUCCAACUCACAUGUGAUCAGAGACGAUGUCUUGAAAGCAGACAAGGUCCAUGCCAAGAAAGGCAAGGAUAGCAACAGCUGUGACCUGAUGCUGCGGAAGCUGGAGAAGAGUGACGAAGGCGUGUAUUACUGCGCUGCCUGGGAGAGCACAGCACAGCCUUACGUGUAGCCCAGGUCCC